UCCUACGGGAGGCAGCAGUAGGGAAUCUUCCGCAAUGGACGAAAGUCUGACGGAGCAACGCCGCGUGAGUGAUGAAGGUUUUCGGAUCGUAAAACUCUGUUGUUAGGGAAGAACAAGUACGAGAGUAACUGCUCGUACCUUGACGGUACCUAACCAGAAAGCCACGGCUAACUACGUGCCAGCAGCCGCGGUAAUACGUAGGUGGCAAGCGUUGUCCGGAAUUAUUGGGCGUAAAGCGCGCGCAGGCGGUCCUUUAAGUCUGAUGUGAAAGCCCACGGCUCAACCGUGGAGGGUCAUUGGAAACUGGGGGACUUGAGUGCAGGAGAGAAGAGUGGAAUUCCACGUGUAGCGGUGAAAUGCGUAGAGAUGUGGAGGAACACCAGUGGCGAAGGCGACUCUUUGGCCUGUAACUGACGCUGAGGCGCGAAAGCGUGGGGAGCAAACAGGAUUAGAUACCCUGGUAGUCCACGCCGUAAACGAUGAGUGCUAAGUGUUAGAGGGUUUCCGCCCUUUAGUGCUGCAGUAAACGCAUUAAGCACUCCGCCUGGGGAGUACGGCCGCAAGGCUGAAACUCAAAGGAAUUGACGGA
This 589-nucleotide ribosomal RNA is filed under the name uncultured bacterium. RNAcentral describes it as "bacterial SSU rRNA". It matches the Rfam family "Bacterial small subunit ribosomal RNA", at positions 337 to 917 of the family's 1533-position model. The record is from RNAcentral.